RNAcentral lists this ribosomal RNA (497 nucleotides) under uncultured bacterium. Its description in RNAcentral is "partial 16S ribosomal RNA". It matches the Rfam family "Bacterial small subunit ribosomal RNA", at positions 28 to 507 of the family's 1533-position model. The record is from RNAcentral.
GAUGAACGCUGGCGGCGUGCCUAAUACAUGCAAGUCGAGCGAACGGACGAGGAGCUUGCUUCUCUGAUGUUAGCGGCGGACGGGUGAGUAACACGUGGAUAACCUACCUAUAAGACUGGGAUAACUUCGGGAAACCGGAGCUAAUACCGGAUGAUAUUUUGAACCGCAUGGUUCAAAAGUGAAAGACGGUCUUGCUGUCACUUAUAGAUGGAUCCGCGCUGCAUUAGCUAGUUGGUAAGGUAACGGCUUACCAAGGCAACGAUGCAUAGCCGACCUGAGAGGGUGAUCGGCCACACUGGAACUGAGGCACGGUCCAGACUCCUACGGGAGGCAGCAGUAGGGAAUCUUCCGCAAUGGGCGAAAGCCUGACGGAGCAACGCCGCGUGAGUGAUGAAGGUCUUCGGAUCGUAAAACUCUGUUAUUAGGGAAGAACAUAUGUGUAAGUAACUGUGCACAUCUUGACGGUACCUAAUCAGAAAGCCACGGCUAACUACGUG